UACGUAGGGUGCGAGCGUUGUCCGGAAUUAUUGGGCGUAAAGAGCUCGUAGGCGGUCUGUCGCGUCGAUCGUGAAAACUUGGGGCUUAACCCUGAGCUUGCGGUCGAUACGGGCAUGACUGGAGUUCGGCAGGGGAGACUGGAAUUCCUGGUGUAGCGGUGAAAUGCGCAGAUAUCAGGAGGAACACCGGUGGCGAAGGCGGGUCUCUGGGCCGAUACUGACGCUGAGGAGCGAAAGCGUGGGGAGCGAACCGG
Molecule: ribosomal RNA, 254 nt
Filed under: uncultured bacterium
Lineage: Bacteria
Description: partial 16S ribosomal RNA
Rfam family: Bacterial small subunit ribosomal RNA
Source: RNAcentral